CAGUGCUGCAUGGCUGUCGUCAGCUCGUGUCGUGAGAUGUUCGGUUAAGUCCGCUAACGAGCGCAACCCUCGCUGUGUGUUAUAUGUGUCACACGGGACUGCCGGUCUUAAGCCGGAGGAAGGUGGGGAUGAUGUCAAGUCAGCAUGGCCUUUAUAUCCUGGGCUACACACACGCUACAAUGGCCAACACAAUAGGUUGCUAAGCCGCGAGGUGGCGCCAAUCCAUAAAGUUGGUCUCAGUUCAGAUUGUAGGCUGCAACCCGCCUGCAUGAAGAUGGAGUUGCUAGUAACCGCAGGUCAGCUAUACUGCGGUGAAUACGUUCCCGGGGCUU
This 332-nucleotide ribosomal RNA is filed under the name uncultured Leptolinea sp. RNAcentral's name for it is "bacterial SSU rRNA". It matches the Rfam family "Bacterial small subunit ribosomal RNA", at positions 1036 to 1382 of the family's 1533-position model. Lineage: Bacteria; Bacillati; Chloroflexota; Anaerolineae; Anaerolineales; Anaerolineaceae. The record is from RNAcentral.